GACGAACGCUGGCGGCGUGCCUAAUACAUGCAAGUCGAGCGGGACUCUUCGGAGUCUAGCGGCGGACGGGUGAGUAACACGUGGGCAACCUGCCUGUAAGACUGGGAUAACACCGGGAAACCGGUGCUAAUACCGGAUAAUCCUUUUCCUCUCAUGAGGAAAAGCUGAAAGUCGGUUUCGGCUGACACUUACAGAACGGCACGCGGCGCAUUAGCUAGUUGGGGAGGUAACGGCUCACCAAGGCGACGAUGCGUAGCCGACCUGAGAGGGUGGUCGGCCACACUGGGACUGAGACACGGCCCAGACUCCUACGGGAGGCAGCAGUAGGGAAUCUUCCACAAUGGACGAAAGUCUGAUGGAGCAACGCCGCGUGAGCGAUGAAGGCCUUCGGGUCGUAAAGCUCUGUUGUGAGGGAAGAACAAGUACCGGAGUAACUGCCGGUACCUUGACGGUACCUAACCAGAAAGCCACGGCUAACUACGUGCCAGCCGCCGCAGUAA
This 500-nucleotide ribosomal RNA is filed under the name uncultured bacterium. RNAcentral describes it as "partial 16S ribosomal RNA". It matches the Rfam family "Bacterial small subunit ribosomal RNA", at positions 28 to 523 of the family's 1533-position model. The record is from RNAcentral.